This 829-nucleotide ribosomal RNA is filed under the name uncultured bacterium. RNAcentral describes it as "bacterial SSU rRNA". It matches the Rfam family "Bacterial small subunit ribosomal RNA", at positions 524 to 1381 of the family's 1533-position model. The record is from RNAcentral.
UACGGGAGGAGCGAAUGUUAUCCUACUUGACUGGGUGUAAAGGGUCCUACGACGGUAAACUAAAUUGUUAGCAUAAGAUGGAAGCACAACUUUCAAAAAAUUUUCAAGACUGAUUUACUUGAGUUUAGGAGAAGAUAAUAGAAGUUUUCAUGUAGGGAUAAAAUCCGGUAAUAUGAAAGCGAAUACCAGCGGCGAAGGCGAUUAUCUAGCUUAAACUGACGUUCAAGGACGAAAGGGUAGGGAGCGAACAGGAUUAGAGACCCUGGUAGUCUACCCCCUAAAAUAUGGGUGCCGGCUUUUAAAGUUAUUUUUAGAGGCUCAGUUUACGCGUUAAGCGCCCCACCUGGGAACUACGAUCGCAAGAUUGAAACUCAAAGGAAUUGGCGGGGACCAAAGCAAGUGGUGGAGCAUGUGGUUUAAUGCGAUAAUCCGCGCAAAAACUUACCAGUUCUUGUAUUUUUUUUGAGAAAGAAAAACAAGUGUUGCAUGGCUGUCGAAAGCCCGUGUUUAAGAUAUUUGGUUUACUCCAUUAACGGGCGAAACCCUUGAUAUUAGUAUUUGUAAAAUUAUAGAUGAAUUAAACAAUACCUAAUAUGAUUAUUAAAUACGAAAGUAAUUGAAAAGGGACUAUGACAAGUCCUUAUGGCCUUUAUGAACUGGGCUACACAUGUGCUACAAUGGUUACUACAAAGAGAAGCAAUAAAGCGAUUUAAAGCAAAUCUCUAAAGGUAACCUUAGUUCAGAUUAUAGAUUGGAACUCAUCUAUAUGAAGCUGGAAUCACUAGUAAUCGUGAAUCAAAAGCGUCACGGUGAAUAAGCCUCUAGGUCU